UAAUAAUUAUUAAAAUAAAAUAAAAUUAUAAUUUAAAAACAAAUUAUUUGUAGGUAAAUAUUGUAAUUAUAAUAUAUAAUUAUAUAUUAUAAGUAAAUCUGAGAGUUUUAGAUGGCUUAUGCUUGUCUAACACUGCCAUACACGUACAACUGACUGUCAAUCGUGUAGUGUUUGCACAAAAAAUUUCGAACUCGACCGAUUUGUUUCAAACCGUCGCGCAACUACUCAAACCACGCCAUACACGCUAAAAAUGUUUUUAGAUUUUUAUAAACAAUUUUAUAAAAUCCAAUUACAAAUAACAUCACAACUCACUACCGAGGACCGAGAGACGCAUGGACCGGACCCGACUGACUGACUCGACCGUUCCAUCAGUACCAUGCACCCUCCGGCCUUGUAACAGGUUGACCAACCCCACAACUAACAGUAUUUAACACGUUUGAUACGAAAAACGAUGAUUAUCUAGAUAGAUAUGUAAUGUUAUAGUGUAAUAGUUAUUUAUAUAAAAUAUUGUCUACACAAUUGCGUGCUCAUUUC
This is a long non-coding RNA of Aphis gossypii (cotton aphid), 534 nucleotides long. RefSeq lists it as uncharacterized. Lineage: Eukaryota; Metazoa; Arthropoda; Insecta; Hemiptera; Aphididae. The record is from RefSeq and is a predicted model, not a curated record. The transcript has 3 exons.